Potamilus streckersoni is the source of this 73-nucleotide non-coding RNA. The record is from the annotation of a GenBank genome assembly. Lineage: Eukaryota; Metazoa; Mollusca; Bivalvia; Unionida; Unionidae.
GUUCCGAUGGCCUAGUGGUUAGAGCGUCCGCCUCUGAUGCUGGAGGUUGUGGGUUUUAUCCUCGGUCGAGUCA